Nannospalax galili (Upper Galilee mountains blind mole rat) is the source of this 421-nucleotide long non-coding RNA. RefSeq lists it as uncharacterized. NCBI's taxonomy places the organism in Eukaryota, Metazoa, Chordata, Mammalia, Rodentia, Spalacidae. The record is from RefSeq and is a predicted model, not a curated record. The transcript is spliced from 3 exons.
UUAUAGGCAUGACCACCACACUAGGCUCUUGCAGAUUCCUUAAGCUAGAGAAGGCUGGUGCUUGAUUUUUCCCUUGACAACAUUUUCAAUAAAAUUAUGCCGGGGAAGUGAGUACAAGAGGAUCCGUGGGGCUUGCCAGGGCCCUUUGAGAGGCUCGUCCUCAAAGAACAAGGUAGAUGAAAUCCAAGUCAGUGAAGCAAGUCAAACUGGCUUCUUCUCAAGACAAAGGCUUCCUAGUGAUGCUCUGACCAGGAAGUGCACUCUGCUGGAGGAAGUAUUUUACUGGGGGCUUUGAGAGUUCACAGCGUCAACCCUGUUGAACUUUCUCUGAGUCGUGUUUUGUGGUUGAAGACGUGAUCUCUGCUUCCUGCUCCUGUUCCUCACUGCCAUGCCUCCCUGCCAUGAUGGAUUCUUACCCCUC